Solenopsis invicta (red fire ant) is the source of this 3801-nucleotide long non-coding RNA. RefSeq lists it as uncharacterized. The record is from RefSeq and is a predicted model, not a curated record. Lineage: Eukaryota; Metazoa; Arthropoda; Insecta; Hymenoptera; Formicidae. The transcript is spliced from 4 exons.
UUCUUCUAUAAAUCGAUUAUGAUUGGCUAAUUUCUUACCGCUACCGGCAUAAGUUAACGGUUACGGCCUGCAUAAAACAGGCUUUACAUAUGAUGAAUUCCUUUUGUCUUUUUUAUUCAAAGAAUUGCUGUUUACAAAGGUGCAGGCAAUUCUCCUGAUUACAAAUAUCGCUGUUACAUUACGAUCUUUCAAGAAUUGAAUAGAAAAUUAAUGCGGUUACGCAGAAAAAUCUAUAAUCCGCGAUUUUCUGAAGUGUGUAAAAGGCAUACAUCUUCACAUAUUUAAUUUAUAGAAUAUCCUCCGAAAGAGUUUCAGCUGACACCGAUGUAUGUCAAGAAAGCUUUCAAAGAAUCGCUGUUUAAAGAGAUGGAAGCAAAUCUUCUGAUUACAAAUAUUGCUGUUACAUUAAUUGAGAUCAUUCACCAGGAAUUGAAAAGAAAAUUAAUGAAGACGGUUACGCAAGAAAAUCUAUCCGACAUUUUCUAAAGUCUGUAAAAGGCGUUGUAGAUUUUCACAUAUAUAAUUAUAAUAGAAUGACCAUACAAGAGAGGUUAAGUUGGCACCGAUGUACGUUAAGAAAGCUUUGUUGAAAUAUAAAAUUGAGUGAGCUAUCAAUAAAAAAAUUGUUUAUUUUUGGGUGAUAUUUAACGUAAAUCGAAAUGUAAUUUUUCCACAAAAUUUUUGAUUUGUAAAGAUUACGACAUGCCAUACCAAAUGAUUUAUACUUUGUUGUAAAAAAUUUGCUUCAUAUUCUUGUUACGUUCAUCGGGAAGCGUAAAGAAACGUUUCUAUAGAAAUUUUUUAAGAUGGGACGGAUAGGACGGCCUUGUAAGGUUUCUAAUCGAGAAGCAAUUCUGCUAUUUCAGAAAUAUAUGCAAUAUUUGAAUACCAAUAAUUUUCCUUCGAGUUCUGCAAAAGUUUGGAAAGACAUGAGCAAAGAUCUAAAUGGAAGAUGGAAACUGCAUUCAGUUUAUACACAUGUGACAGAAAAUAAAAAUGGGAAUUUUCAAGCAGCUCGUCAGAACGGGAAGGUAGCGUACAGUACUAUUGCACACAAGCCACUCACAACCACUCAUAGCGCUUGAACAGAAGAAUAUCUCUAGGCACCAGCCGCUGUGAUUGGCUGUGUGCAAUAGUACUGUGCGCUAUCGGUACCUUCCCCGUCAGAACUUGGGUAUAAAUAUCCAACCUCCUAUGUUCAAAACCGUUGAAGAUGUUACCGUUAAGGAAUCAUCAGGGAAUUCUGAGUUGGAUGAAUCAUCUUUCGACGAGAAUGAAGACGUUGAUGUUGAUUUCUUCCCUCUAGUUCUUUCACCUACAGAGUGGGAACAAAUAAAGCCCGAGCAGAUUUCUAAUCAAAAAAGAUAAAAAUCAUGGGUUUGGCCAAAUGUAAUCACAAAAGCAUUUUGGAAUAUGUACAAAUUUCCAUGUGCUUUUCUGGGCAAAUGGUCGUACGUGCGCAUGGAACUUGAGGACGUAAAUAAAAAUAAUGUUGAAUCUUCCUCUGAUUUCUAUUUAAAGUUUAAAGGAUUAUGUAAAAGCAAGAAAUGUAGUAACAAAAUUGUUGGUGUUGCCGACAAAAAAUCUGUCAAUGGAAAACUACACUUAAUAAUCAGAACAUGUGAUACUCGUAAUGAUUAUCAUGAAGAAGUUAAGAGACCAUUGCAUGGUCCCGAAAGGAAAAUAAUUGGACGAAAAUUAAAACGAAAAAGAGUCGCAGGAUAUCAGCAAAAAUUAUUUGCGGAGAAUAUGGAAUUUGGAGAGAACGAACCACCGUGGGUACAAAAAUGUCAUAUUUACAGACAAGCAAAGAUGGAAUGUAACAAGAAAGAUCUCGGUAUUAAAUUAGGCGAAAAAAUGGAUAUGAUAACAAGCAUCCGUAAUAUGUUACGAGACAUCCGAUACAGCAAUUCUAUCCACGAUAUUGGAGCAAAGAAAUUUUUUACUGCAGCCCAGAACAAAUUUUUGUAGAAAAAGAAUACUGCCGAAUAAAGAAGGGAUUUUCCCGAAUUUGUUAAAUGCCACGAGUAAAGUGGUAGAAAAAUUUGAAAUUUUUUCAGGGUGAAAAACUGGCCACAUAUUUUUAUACACAAUUACCAUCAAUUUUGAGGGUAAAACUCUUCCUGUGUAUCAAAUGUUGUCAGAAAAACGUGACGCAGCUUUCAUCACGUAUUGGCUUCAAAAAUGAAUACGAACAUGUAAAGCAACGAUACCAAACGAAUCUACAGUUGAUUUAGGACGUGCUUUAUUACUGGCCAUGUGUGAAACAUUUAACCGCAUGACACUAAAAGAAUAUGUUGACGUUUUAUUCAAAUGGGCAACGAAAGACAGUCAUAAAACACCUCGUCCAUUUAACACUCUAAUAAGAGCGGAUGUGGCUCAUUUAAUGGCUGCUGUCGCUAGAUGGAAAUGUAUUAAAGAUCUACGCCAUCCUGCUGCUAAAGGUUUUUAUCUUCAUACAAUUGCUUUAAUGAUUGACUGCCAAACAGUGCAAGAGUUUGAACAUGUAUUUCGAUUGACAAGUAUUGUUGCAUUACAUCCUGAUCAAGAUGACAGUGUAAUGAUGUCAGAAAAACAAAUGUCAGUUUUUGUAGCUAGACGCCUUCUGGAGGAGUACAUCACUGAACGUGGACAGAUUAUCAAGAAAUUAGAGACAUCGAAAGAGAACGUCGAAGUUGAUGACAAAGUAAAAAAUACUUUGAAUUUAGCUGAAGAAAAAGAUAAUUAGAAUUUAACCCUCACUCAUCAAUGGAUCAAAAGGCUUAUUUCCAUUUCAACACCUUCUAAUCAGCAAAAGCAGCUGGAGUGCAAGGCUGUAAAUGGUUUUUAUCUUCCGGAAUUCAUACAGCCACUUGAACGAAUUGCCAAAGAGUUUCCUAUAUGGACUGCAGCAACUUUUCCUGGCAUACAAUCACAUGCGUCGACAGCUUCUCAAGAAGGAUAUUUUGCUGAAAUGAGGAAAAGAAUUUUUGAAGGUAUUGCUUUACCGUGUUCUGCAAUUCGAUUUUUGAAAGAGCAUAUUAAUGACUUAUAUUCUGGCACUAAUGAGGUAGCAACGAAAUUGAAACAUUUUAAUCACAAUUAUAAGCAGCUGGUACCAACGACGUAUACAUCAGAGAAAGGAUUAUGAUUAGCCUCGCAAAAACCAGCUCGAACUCAACAUUCAUCCACUAAAAAAUCAGAAUCAAUUUGGCAAAAAGCUGUUUCAACUUCGUGUUCAUUUGACGAACUAAGAUUCUUGUCGCAAGGAUUUGCACCAACUUCAUGUUCAUUUGACAGUGAAUUAGGAAAUUUUUUACAAGAUCCAACUCCAGCUGCAUGUAUAUCAUUAGAUCAACAUUUAGAAUUCUCUCCCCAAAUGUCCGUACCACCGCAAUGUUCAGCAGAUAUUGAGUCUUCAGUACGAAAACCAAUAUUAAAUUCAGCAGACAGAAAAGUAAAAUCCUCAUCGCAAAAGUCAUAUAUACAUAUGAAUUUUGAUUCAAUAAGUUUAUUGCGCGAAAGGGCUCGCAUGGUGAAUGACUCUGAUUUGAAGAGUAGUGAAGCGUGGAUAGGAUUUGUCAAUGAAAAUAGUUUUUUUGCAGACGUUAAUGAACGAAGUCCUGAAAACCAAAAAAAAUAAAAAAAUAUUCAAGAUACUUCUGAAAUUCUUUCUGAAUUACUCGAUUUUGAAAGUACCCUUACAGAAAUGAACUAUUGUAACUAUUAGUAAAACUAUUAAUAAAACUAUUGGAUUAUUCGUCAUAGUUUCUUCGCGGAUUAUUGGGACAAACUAUUACACAGAACUAUUGAAAAAUUGUU